AAAUGAAUUGACGGGGGCCCGCACAAGCGGUGGAGCAUGUGGUUUAAUUCGACGCAACGCGAAGAACCUUACCAGGGUUUGACAUCCCUUGACUGCUAUAGAGAUAUAGUGUUCAGCUUGCUGACAAGGAGACAGGUGGUGCAUGGCUGUCGUCAGCUCGUGUCGUGAGAUGUUGGGUUAAGUCCCGCAACGAGCGCAACCCUUAUUCUUAGUUGCCAGCAUUUAAGGUGGGCACUCUAAGGAGACUGCCACGGAUAACGUGGAGGAAGGUGGGGAUGACGUCAAGUCAUCAUGCCCUUUAUAUCCUGGGCUACACACGUGCUACAAUGGUUCGUACAGAGGGAAGCAAAGCCGCGAGGUGGAGCCAAUCCCAGAAAGCGGACCUCAGUUCGGAUUGGAGUCUGCAACUCGACUCCAUGAAGCAGGAAUCGCUAGUAACCGCAGAUCAGCAUGCUGCGGUGAAUACGUUCCCGGGCCUUGUACACACCGCCCGU
RNAcentral lists this ribosomal RNA (494 nucleotides) under uncultured bacterium. Its description in RNAcentral is "bacterial SSU rRNA". It matches the Rfam family "Bacterial small subunit ribosomal RNA", at positions 903 to 1397 of the family's 1533-position model. The record is from RNAcentral.